UUCUGCUUCUUCUUCUGGGUCCAGUGGGGAUUGGGAUUGGGGGGGGAGUGAGUGGGUGAGUUAAUGGGUUGAGGGUCUGGCUCGGCGCUGUCUGUUUGUUUGCGAGGGUGCGUCGCGGCAGAUACGAUCUUGAUUGAUUGAAGCGAGUCUCCCAGGCCAAUGAAUCAAUGAUUGUACUCCAGACUACUACAACUACGACUACUACUAAUACUACUACCCGGGGGAGAGAAGAAGGAGAAGGAGAAGCAGCAGCUUGGACCAAAGCCAAGCCAAGCCAAGUUGGAAUUGAAUUGAAUUGAAUUGCAUUGGCAGCUCUCUUUAAAGAGAAGCCCAUUCGAGGGGGUGGGGUGAGAAUUUAUAUCUCCCAUUCCCUCUCGCAGGUGUGGUGUGGUGUCCUCGUGCCCUGCUGCACUGUCAGAUCAAGAGAUUUGCAGCCAUGGCUCGAAAGUGGAGCUUGAUUUGGACGGUUUCAAUGCCGCGCUGAGACCGGAGAAUCGCUGAUUAAUUGCAUGAUUGCGGCCUUUUUAUUUUUAAUCCUUUUAAAUAAUAAUAAUUUUAACAUUAAUUGUUGUUUUGGGUUUGUUGAUUUAUUUAUUUUGUUAAAUUGUUUUUUUUUGUAAUAUUUAAUGUGUUUUCGACAUUUUCCUCUUUGGCAUGUGAUUCUGGAUCUUUUGAUUGCGCUUCUGGAUUAAUGGAUGAGGAGGGUUUGUUUGAUUUUAUUCUGUGCACGUACUGGGGCUGUAAGGAUGCGAAAGCGACGUCGUGGAAAUAGUUUCAGGUACAUUGGAAUGAAAUGUCCCUACAGAGGGAUUCUCCUGCAUUGCAAUCAAAUGACGUUCCGUGACUUUGCACGCUCUGGAUAUUAAUUCUUGUAUGAAAAGAGAGCAUCGCACAUCGAUAUGCGUAGGAGAAAUGAUGUAACCACUCGAGAAUUUUGGGUUUUCGAGAGUCGGCAUCGUCUUCAUGUUCUCAUGUAAGUGAGUUUGUCACACGACUCUAAAUUUACUUUCGGAACCAUUACACGCUCUCUCUCUCUCUCUCACUCUUACUCACAGCAUGUUGAAUUUCAGUCAACAUUGGCAAAUUGGACAUUGUCAACUACAGCCACAUGCGUUUUGCGAUUGAGUGCCAUAAUAUUCCUGAAGAGCUAGACUUCUUAUGAACCUUCUGCUUGUGUCGUAGUAACCUUUUUUGUGGCAGUUGUCAUGGCUCAAGAGCUGCGGCUGGAAUACACUUCCUCUACCUUCCCAAAUACAAGUACUGACUUGAAUGCACAUAUUGACGUCUGUGAUGUCGACUACUCCUGUAACGCGAAGGGGUUUGGCCUCAUGUCUUCUUCAUCAUUUCUCAUGGCGGCCGGAAGUCUUGGACUCCAUUAUGAAGGAAAACAGAGACGUUUCGAGGAUCUGUCUGUCUUUCGCCGCCUGCAGGAAUUUGAAGAGUCCUCCCACAGUUUAAUGAGUCUCUGCAGCACAACAUCGUCAACCUACUCCGAAAAGCAUCACCGUAUCCCCUAAACAACCACCUGGGCUUCAUUUGUAUAAUUUGCUUCGAAUCCGCACUCACAUAUUCAACAAGAUAUCAAUGUGGUGGGAGCAUGUUGUCUGUCAUGUCUUCAAUGCCUUUAAAUGCAGGUGGGUUUUCCUCUUUUGUGCUUCAUUCAGCUGAUUUGUGCUUCAUAUAUCAACUUCUCUCUUCUAUUGAGAGAGAGAGAGAGAGAGAGAGAGAGAGAGAAAAAAAAAAAAAAAAAAAAAAAAAU
Physcomitrium patens is the source of this 1759-nucleotide non-coding RNA. The record is from RefSeq and is a predicted model, not a curated record. NCBI's taxonomy places the organism in Eukaryota, Viridiplantae, Streptophyta, Bryopsida, Funariales, Funariaceae.